Molecule: small RNA, 607 nt
Filed under: bovine gut metagenome
Description: ROOL RNA
Rfam family: ROOL RNA
About the family: Firmicutes, Fusobacteria (1 example), Tenericutes (1 example). Environment (Cow rumen (57))
Source: RNAcentral
CUGGAUCUCAGUGUAUAAGCGGGAUGAAAACCGUUCUGAGAGGCGGAAGCUUUCGGUAGUGGAAGCUGUCGGAAUGCCUGCAUUGGGGAAAAGCCCAGGGAUACCUGGUGUCAGUGCCCUGUGGUAUGUGCGUGAGCAUAUACCGGAAUGCCGACAGGCAUAAAAUGCGGUGCCGUGCCGGAGGAACGCAGAUUAAGGCGCAGUGUCUGUCGCCGGCUAAUAGACGCCCUCCCGGAAGGAGGGAAUAACCCGGAAUGCCGCGGGGUGGUGCCUGCAGGAGAGAGGCUGAUUCCGCAUAAAGGAGGUUCGGCCCUUUACGGGAAGACUUAAAUAAGCCGGUUUCCAGUGAAGUCCUGAAAAGGGCGUAUAAGACGGAUGACUGACCCAAUUGCGGAAUGGAAACCCUUUCUUCCAGCUCAGCAACUCAGUGGAAUGGAGUUUUUUUAAAAAUAUGCCGGAAGAUCCGUGAAUGGUGGAGGUAAUCAAUCCUUCUUGAGACAGGCGGCGAAAGCCGCAGGAUGCGCGGAUGGGAGUCGCUGCCCAUCGGCCGGCCGCAUCUUCUCAAUGGCGGAACAGGUCUGAAGUUCUGUUCGGUAUCGUGAAAGCG